AUAAUUGCAAACGAUAAUAACUACGCUUUAGCAGCUUAGUCUGCUAACUGAUCAUAAUGCUGUGUUCGUUCGGUAUUAUCAUCAGUCAACUUAAACGAAAUAGUGGAAUAUCAUUUCUAGGGGAUAUUCUGCGAAACUUAACUUAGAACAGCUUUGCAUCUCCUGCCGGUCGGACGAUGCGAAGUUAAAUUAAAGAUUCGGCUAAACAUGUAGUACCAAGAAUGGAUAGUUUUCGGACGCGGGUUCAAAUCCCGCCGCCUCCACCA
This 266-nucleotide transfer-messenger RNA is filed under the name Candidatus Ignatzschineria merdigallinarum. Its description in RNAcentral is "partial transfer-messenger RNA". It matches the Rfam family "transfer-messenger RNA", at positions 87 to 374 of the family's 374-position model. Rfam says of the family: Bacterial tmRNA, also known as 10Sa RNA or SsrA, is named for its dual tRNA and mRNA-like properties. Its role is to liberate the mRNA from a stalled ribosome. To accomplish this part of the tmRNA is used as a reading frame that ends in a translation stop signal. Lineage: Bacteria; Pseudomonadati; Pseudomonadota; Gammaproteobacteria; Cardiobacteriales; Ignatzschineriaceae. The record is from RNAcentral.